RNAcentral lists this transfer RNA (73 nucleotides) under Felis catus (domestic cat). It matches the Rfam family "tRNA". Rfam says of the family: Transfer RNA (tRNA) molecules are approximately 80 nucleotides in length. Their secondary structure includes four short double-helical elements and three loops (D, anti-codon, and T loops). Further hydrogen bonds mediate the characteristic L-shaped molecular structure. tRNAs have two regions of fundamental functional importance: the anti-codon, which is responsible for specific mRNA codon recognition, and the 3' end, to which the tRNAs corresponding amino acid is attached (by aminoacyl-tRNA synthetases). tRNAs cope with the degeneracy of the genetic code in two manners: having more than one tRNA (with a specific anti-codon) for a particular amino acid; and 'wobble' base-pairing, i.e. permitting non-standard base-pairing at the 3rd anti-codon position. Lineage: Eukaryota; Metazoa; Chordata; Mammalia; Carnivora; Felidae. The record is from Rfam by way of RNAcentral.
GCCUGGCUGGCUCAGUUGGUGGAGCAUGGGACUCUUGAUCUCAGAACUGUGAGUCUGAGCCCCAUGUUGGGUG